This 70-nucleotide transfer RNA is filed under the name Capreolus capreolus (Western roe deer). RNAcentral describes it as "tRNA-His". It matches the Rfam family "tRNA". Rfam says of the family: Transfer RNA (tRNA) molecules are approximately 80 nucleotides in length. Their secondary structure includes four short double-helical elements and three loops (D, anti-codon, and T loops). Further hydrogen bonds mediate the characteristic L-shaped molecular structure. tRNAs have two regions of fundamental functional importance: the anti-codon, which is responsible for specific mRNA codon recognition, and the 3' end, to which the tRNAs corresponding amino acid is attached (by aminoacyl-tRNA synthetases). tRNAs cope with the degeneracy of the genetic code in two manners: having more than one tRNA (with a specific anti-codon) for a particular amino acid; and 'wobble' base-pairing, i.e. permitting non-standard base-pairing at the 3rd anti-codon position. Lineage: Eukaryota; Metazoa; Chordata; Mammalia; Artiodactyla; Cervidae. RNAcentral also lists the same sequence under 1 other name. The record is from RNAcentral.
GUAAAUAUAGUUUAAAAAAAAACAUUAGAUUGUGAAUCUGACAACAGAAGCCUACAACUUCUUAUUUACC